CUACGGGAUGCACCAGCAGGGAAUAUUGCACAAUGGACGGAAGUCUGAUGCAGCGACGCCGCGUGGAUGAUGAAGGCCCUCGGGUUGUAAAAUCCUUUUCAGGGGGACGAGGAAGGACGGUACCCUUGGAAUAAGCGUCGGCUAACUACGUGCCAGCAGCCGCGGUAAGACGUAGGACGCAAGCGUUAUCCGGAUUUACUGGGCGUAAAGCGUCUGUAGGCGGAAUGGUAAGUUGGACGAGAAAGCUCCGGGCUCAACCCGGAGAGGUCGUUCAAUACUGCCAAACUAGAGGGCAUCAGAGGAGCGUGGAAUUUCCGGUGUAGCGGUAAAAUGCGCAGAUAUCGGAAGGAACACCAAUGGCGAAGGCAGCGCUCUGGGAUGAACCUGACGCUAAGAGACGAAAGCUAGGGGAGCGAACAGGAUUAGAUACCCUCGUAGUC
RNAcentral lists this ribosomal RNA (440 nucleotides) under uncultured bacterium. RNAcentral describes it as "partial 16S ribosomal RNA". It matches the Rfam family "Bacterial small subunit ribosomal RNA", at positions 339 to 795 of the family's 1533-position model. The record is from RNAcentral.